AAAUUAGCGUCGAUGAGUUCGCGGCGAUGACGGAACGGUGGAAAUCAAAACAUGGGGACGUUUUUUAUUUAUUUAUUUCUUUUCGUUAUUUGGAGGUGAAUUGCAAAAAAUAAAAUAAAGAUCUUACUAACUAUUCCCACAUUUUCGGGAAUUUCUCCACUCGUAGAGCGUGACCACUUUUAAGGACAUUUCUUUAGGGAAACGGCGGGGCAGACGUCAAGACAUUCGUUGGGCCACGGGUGACAGUCGGUCGGGCGGGGCAGCAGGUGGGACAGUAAGCGUGGGGAGCCAAGUUUUCAAGUGCAUAUUUCAUAUACUUUCUUGAGUCCUAUGAACUUAAGUCGUACAUAGGUAGUUAGAUAUUUUUUUAAACGUUAUUGCAUUUUUUUGAAUUCAAUAAUGAAAGAAUAAAUUAUUCAAAAUUCCAUCGUUCCUCCGUUCCUCCUACACUAGCGAUAUUCUUGUCGAUUAAUAUUGUCAGAGUAAUCUUUUCUGCAAAAUACCACAAAUUAGUCCAACGAUAUCGAUUGGCACAAUCAUCGAUUAAAGUUUAAAAAAUGACGACCGGCCGCAAUAAAUUGAAUUUCUAGUUGGUUAAAAUUCCUGGCCAACUAUUUCCUGCCGUCUAUCACUUUCUGCAUCCAGGACACGUAUUUACUGACGCGCGUGUAGAUUCCGGGCAAACCUGGACGUGCACAGCCGAUCCCCGUGGACACCACGCCCACCAGAUGAUGCUCCUUGGACAUCAGCGGACCGCCAGAAUCCGCCUGUGAAGUCGUAUUGCGGAUGGGGCACAAUGUUCUUGAAGUCCACCCUCAGUGCAUCCGGACCGUUGCCAAUCCCGUUGAGGUACUCCCUGAUGCUAUGCAAACCCACAACUCCUUGGAUUUGAGCUGGUUUCAUGAACUGCUGCAGCCCAUUGCAGAUGCAAUGUCCCGCCGUGAGGAUCCAUCGCUCCGAGAUGAUAGUGCCGCCACAAAAGUGACCACCACGACGCAUCAGACUGACCAUGUAGGGCAUUUCGUUGCGCUCCGCCUCACUACCUCCCACGAUUUUUGGAUUUCGAACCGAGCAUGGCUGGUUGCUAACUGUCAUGGGAGUCAGAGGAAUUUCAAUUUGCGUGAGUUCAUGAUAAGGAGUGUUGAAAAUAAUUAGUUAAUAUAAGCAGAACGCAUUUAUUUAUAUUUCUCAUAAUCUAGUAAACUUUUCCUUAUGCACGUUUUAUGAUUAUACAAGUUUUGAUAGAAUCUUGAAAUAUUUGUAGGUUGAGUUCUUAUCAAAUAGGGAAGCAUAAACUGUUGCAAUUGGAACAUUAGAUGUUAGAUUUAUCCAGUGAAUUUAGCAUAUAAAUCCACAAUGCUAAAAGAUCAUGCUUUCUUAAUUGAUAUAAACUAACCUAAAAUAUUAAGGACUGCAAAAAUGAAUGGAAUAUUAAACACAAGUUAAAAGUUAAAAGGUAGUUCCCAGGAAUCCUAAUUUAGGAACUAUAAUUAUUUUAUUUUUCAUAUUAUAUUUGACUUAUUACUCUUUUCGUCACAUUUGUUCAAUCAACUCACAAGCAAUUUGGGAUUGUGCACACUUCACUAGCGACAGAACCGCGACUACGAAUACGAUUUUCAACAUUUUCUGUGUGCACAACCAGUGUUCUUAGCCCCGAAAAAAAACCCGUUAAGCACGGCUCAAGCUUAAACGAAACUGCCACGAAUAUUCUGUGCGGCAAUUAAUUUAUAUAUAGGUGUCUGGGCGUCCAGCGCCUCUCCGUUCCACUGACUUACUUCACUGUCGUCCGGAGUUCUAUGCGGAUUAGCCGGAAAGCUCGCUCUCUCGGCCUGAUAACAAACGGAAGUCGCAGCCGGGCCUUUGGCACCUGUUGCCUCAGCUGAGAGCUUUUUUUGCGCUGCACUACCUGUCUCAUCGCCUUUUUUUUUUUUGCUGGUAUUGUGGGCAUGGGUGCCAUGUGCACACGUUAUGGCAUUUCAAUUGCUCCAAGGGGGGGGGGGGUGAAUUAAGGAGCUGCCGAAAAGUCGAAAACAAACCCAAAAGUAAACAAUGGCCGAAAUAAAGUUUUGUGUGUUUUGCGUUUUAUGACCCAGCGAAGUUCAUGACAUUGAAAAGUGCGCGACAAAAGGUGUGACAAUAUUUAUGCUGAAUUUUCGAUGCCACCACUACGAGUUUAUUGCACCUCUAUCCUUAUUUUAGUACAUUAUUAUUGCGAUUAGCACGUAUUUAGGGUGUUAUUGAAAUUGUUGUAUGGUUAAUAAAGAAAAGGGUGUAAAUAUUAUUAUGACUUGUUAAUCAACUGAAAUGCUAUUGCAUAACUACAGAAAAUUUUAUAAAUGAUUCAAAACCAACUCUUUUGAUUUUAAAUUUCUUUUUGCUUGCAUGUAGUAUCUUUUAUUUCUUCAGUUCUUAUGAUUUACAAUGCAUUUUUGUGUUCCUACAAGAUCUAAUUUAUCUAAUCUAUCUUAAGAAAGUUAAAAAAGUUUCUAGGAUUUGCGUAAUCGUUACAGUUAUGUCAUUGCCUGCAUUUGACACAAUUAGUUCGCACAUUGCAGCUAACCUUAGACGUCAUAUUUCCAUCAGUUUAGACCUGGUAGUUAGUAAUCGGGCCUGUUAUGCAAAUUAGGAUGUCUGCGCUGCAUAUGAAUACUGUGAUGGGACCAAAAAUUAAUUGAAAUUCAAUGUCGGCGCAAUCAAUGUAAUAUUAGCCGCUUGACAUUAACAUUGCCCUUAAAACUAACGCAUGGCCCACACACUCAAUGCAAUUGGCGACAUGGGAAGGUUGAUACACCAUCCAUCGCAUAUCAAAGUGAUAAAUGCAGGUGGAAGUGCAUUUCUAUGACAUAAUAUGUAUUAUAAGCAAUAGCAUGCCAAAAAUGAUGGGUAUUGAAGUGGGCAAAGCAGGAAUUGGAAUUGAAACUGAAAGUUAAGACGGAGUAUGACAAAUCUACAGACCAAGGCAUUAAUAAUUCAUUAUCCACAAUCUCGAUUCUCAGUCGGAGCACACAAAUCAGUUCAGUGGAUCAGACAAGUAUGCCAGAAUUACUAAUUGAUUUCAUGACUUUGGUUCCUUAACCGAAAACCAGAUAGCAUCCCAAUCGAGUUCAUUGAUCGCGGCAGCUCUGUUUCGCACUAAAUGCUAAUUCACUAAACAAAUCGCCCAUAAAAAACACUAUAUAUCCAUUGUCUGCCGUUGACUGGCGUUGAUACCAAAUAACCAAAUAUAAACAAUAUUAACAAACACGAGUGCGGAGCUCAACUGAAACAAGUUUCAGGCGCAUUGACACCCGCCUUUGGGCGAAACUUGGGCGCAUUCAAUGUGAAGGUCGCUUCGAUUUGAGGUACUUGAGUUAUGCUUGACAAUUGUCAUAUUAUUCAGCUAUUUCGCUACACUUUUGUUUUCAUUUCGACGAAGUUCAACGACGCCGCUCUCAGGUGACUAAUUGCAAGGGGGAAGUCUUUGGACGUCGCUAAUGCGGGUGUGUUUGGCGCUAUAGGAAAUGUUUUGGGGCGCAGUGAACCCAUUUAACUGGCAGGUAUUUAUAGGAAUCACGAAUGGGUGGUAGUGGGUUAUAAACAAAAACAUUUAGCAUAGAUGCUUCAGUUAUGAAAUUUAACUGUUUAUUAUCUUCUUAAUUGUGACUUAAUUAAACUAGGUAUGUAAUUAUAGUUUAUAGUUUUCGUAGUGAGUAGGCUUUAAAUAAAACAUUACGUUAUAAAAUGGAACUAUCUACAAUCGUAUAAAUUGCAAUUUAACUAUAUAUAAUUAUAGCUUAUAGUUUUCGAUUGAAUUUCGAGUGAGUAGUGGUUUCUAAAUAAAACACAAGGAUGCUUAAGUUAUGAAAUUGAACUGCCUAGAAUCAUAUAGAUCACAAUUUCAGUAAUUUAUCAGUUUAUAUCUUUAAUUAAUGGGA
Molecule: long non-coding RNA, 3914 nt
Filed under: Drosophila melanogaster (fruit fly)
Lineage: Eukaryota; Metazoa; Arthropoda; Insecta; Diptera; Drosophilidae
Description: antisense RNA:CR45912 (Dmel_CR45912)
Source: RNAcentral